Molecule: ribosomal RNA, 309 nt
Filed under: uncultured eukaryote
Lineage: Eukaryota
Description: partial 18S ribosomal RNA
Rfam family: Eukaryotic small subunit ribosomal RNA
Source: RNAcentral
CCCUUAGAUGUUCUGGGCGGCCCGCGCACUACAAUGGCGUGUGCAGCGAGUGCCGAAGUAGAGUUUUCCGAGGUAUUCUUGCAAUGCCCGUUUUGAUGGGGAUAGACCCUUGCAACUGUUGGUUUUGAACGAGGAAUUCCUUGUAAGCAUGGUUUAUCAUCCGACGCUGAAUGCGUCCCUGCCCUUUGUACACACCGCCCGUCGCUCCUACCGAUGAGUCGUCCGGUGAAGUUCGUAGACCUCGUGAUUGCGGAUCACUGGGGGAAGCAAAAUGAACCUCGCGGUUUAGAGGAAGGAGAAGUCGUAACA